Molecule: transfer RNA, 86 nt
Filed under: Rhamnusium bicolor
Lineage: Eukaryota; Metazoa; Arthropoda; Insecta; Coleoptera; Cerambycidae
Description: tRNA-OTHER
Source: RNAcentral
GGCAUGGUAGCCGAGUAGGUAAAGCGCAUAUAGGUAGUUUCUUGGUACCGAAUAUCGAUGGUUCGAAUCCAUCCCAGAGCAAGUUA